AGAUAUUUUAAUCAGCAGCUACUCAAUGACAAAUAAAACAGUUACUGACAGCAGAAACAGACACACAUGCACAGUCCAUCCCCUUUACAAUUCAUCUGCCCUGCCUUGUGGAUUCUAUUGAAUAUCAAUAUUUUUUUGGUUUGUUUAUUAUGUAGCAUCCCAUCCAAACAGUAUGCAGACAGUUACCAUCUGAUAGUCCCCAAAGACCGGAUGUUGUUUAGGCAUCAAGUACAUUCAGAGCAGGUUUUCCACUGCAGCAGUGGAAAAUACCAAUUCUUGCAACAGAGUUGUAGGUACGCUUUAUAGGUAAUAACUUGUGUGCGUGUAAAGCAGAAGCCACUUGAUCUCUGAAUGCAGACCAAAUCCCUCUUGUCCUGCAUAUUAUAUAGACUCAGCACAUGGUUUCCAACCAAGACAGAUUACAAUCCUUGGGAAACAUCUUUGCUCAAAGUUGCCCUGGUAAGAAACACCGUGUAUUAGCUUCAAGCAGUGCUGUGUUCUUCAGCCAUAUAGCUUCCAGUGCUCCCAAAAUUGAUUGCUCAGGAGACUUCAUAAUACAACGCAAUCAUACCAUAAGCAUAAAUAAAUCAUAUCCACUAAAUAGGAGAGAUCAGGGAAGCAACGGGCAUCACACCUGUGUUUCCAUGGAGCUCUGUGAUAUCACAGGCAUCACGCCAUACACAACACAUGGCUUCUCACCAUCUCAGAUCUCCCUCUGCAGUCCCUCCCACAGACUCACCCACAAUCAGGCAGCAGAUACUGUCUCGGUAGUUUCACCAAGCCAGCAGCCUGUACAGAGGCACCUGAUGGAGGAGAAUAGCAACUUCAAAGCAGAUUAAAGAGAAUGUUUCAUGCAUGAGGGACAAUCCAAGAGUACCAAGGUUCACAGAGUUUGUCAGAAUGAUCCACAGGAAAAGCAUGGGAGAAUAAGCAGAACAUGAAGCCCAGCAACAGCCAAGGACAUUGCUGAUCCACAGCUCUCUUGCUAUGCCACUGUCAACUCAGUAAUAAAUAUUAAACACAGGAAAAGAUCAUCAAAAUAAGUUGUAUAGACUCCAGCAGUCAACUCCUACUGCUUGAAGUCAUUAAAUACAGCCAGUCAAAACUUCAAAA
Cygnus olor (mute swan) is the source of this 1113-nucleotide long non-coding RNA. RefSeq lists it as uncharacterized. The record is from RefSeq and is a predicted model, not a curated record. NCBI's taxonomy places the organism in Eukaryota, Metazoa, Chordata, Aves, Anseriformes, Anatidae. The transcript has 2 exons.